Molecule: ribosomal RNA, 464 nt
Filed under: Vreelandella stevensii
Lineage: Bacteria; Pseudomonadati; Pseudomonadota; Gammaproteobacteria; Oceanospirillales; Halomonadaceae
Description: partial 16S ribosomal RNA
Rfam family: Bacterial small subunit ribosomal RNA
Source: RNAcentral
CCUACGGGCGGCAGCAGUGGGGAAUAUUGGACAAUGGGCGAAAGCCUGAUCCAGCCAUGCCGCGUGUGUGAAGAAGGCCUUCGGGUUGUAAAGCACUUUCAGUGGGAAGAAAGCCUUGGGGCUAAUACCCUCGAGGAAGGACAUCACCCACAGAAGAAGCACCGGCUAACUCCGUGCCAGCAGCCGCGGUAAUACGGAGGGUGCGAGCGUUAAUCGGAAUUACUGGGCGUAAAGCGCGCGUAGGCGGUCUGAUAAGCCGGUUGUGAAAGCCCCGGGCUCAACCUGGGAACGGCAUCCGGAACUGUCAGGCUAGAGUGCAGGAGAGGAAGGUAGAAUUCCCGGUGUAGCGGUGAAAUGCGUAGAGAUCGGGAGGAAUACCAGUGGCGAAGGCGGCCUUCUGGACUGACACUGACGCUGAGGUGCGAAAGCGUGGGUAGCAAACAGGAUUAGAUACCCGUGUAGUC